AUGUUUGGAUGUUUUGGGGGUUACCAUGAGGCAAGAAAACAGGAUAUGGGUGGAGUGGUCAGAUUGGGAUAUACUUCAUAUCAGGUCAUGGUGACCCUCUCUCAUGGUAGCUUAAUUGCAAUAACAGGAAAUCUGGCUCCAAAAGAUAGUGGCAGAGAAAGUCACGAAGGGGACUUUCGCACGCACAUUUGGCUAAAACUAAGGUCCCUGACGUCAAUGGAGGACUAUAAAAGAUAUGUGGAUGGGCUGUUUUGCUCAUGAGCUAUUGUUCGAUGCUGUGAUCGGAAUAAAAACCCCGCCGAGAGGCUGCCAGCUUGAUUCUGUCUUCGUGUAGUUCAUUUCUGCACUUUUGCACCGAGGUCAUCUUCUAAA
This is a non-coding RNA of Xyrichtys novacula (pearly razorfish), 372 nucleotides long. Lineage: Eukaryota; Metazoa; Chordata; Actinopteri; Labriformes; Labridae. The record is from the annotation of a GenBank genome assembly.